Glossina morsitans morsitans is the source of this 74-nucleotide non-coding RNA. Lineage: Eukaryota; Metazoa; Arthropoda; Insecta; Diptera; Glossinidae. The record is from Rfam.
UUUAGUACGUAGGCGCCGUAGAUGGCGGUUCGUGCAUGCUGUUGCUACGGGCCAAUAGUAUCUUUGAAAGAAUU